RNAcentral lists this ribosomal RNA (253 nucleotides) under uncultured bacterium. RNAcentral describes it as "partial 16S ribosomal RNA". It matches the Rfam family "Bacterial small subunit ribosomal RNA", at positions 524 to 776 of the family's 1533-position model. The record is from RNAcentral.
UACGAAGGGGGCUAGCGUUGCUCGGAAUCACUGGGCGUAAAGGGCGCGUAGGCGGCCAAGUAAGUUGGGGGUGAAAGCCCGUGGCUCAACCACGGAAUUGCCUUCGAUACUGCUUGGCUUGAGACCGGAAGAGGUGAGUGGAACUGUGAGUGUAGAGGUGAAAUUCGUAGAUAUUCGCAAGAACACCAGUGGCGAAGGCGGCUCACUGGUCCGGAUCUGACGCUGAGGCGCGAAAGCGUGGGGAGCAAACAGG